Molecule: unclassified non-coding RNA, 273 nt
Filed under: plant metagenome
Description: partial contains small subunit ribosomal RNA, internal transcribed spacer 1, and 5.8S ribosomal RNA
Source: RNAcentral
UUUCCGUAGGUGAACCUGCGGAAGGAUCAUUGCCACACACGAUCCAAGAUCGACACUUUUAAUGUGAACUGUUUGUGUUUCCAUCCUUAAAAGAGGGGGAAGAGAGAGAUUUCUUUCUUUUUUACCUCUUCUUUUUCGGAAAAUAUUUUAUUACACCUUUUCUUACAAUUGGUUGAUACAUAUAUGGAACAUAAAAUGUUACAACGAGUUCGUCUUGUUGCUAACGAAAAUUAUAAUUAAAAACAACUUUUAACAACGGAUAUCUUGGUUCUU